CUCAAUAAUUGUAAAUAUAUUACGCACCUAGGGCAGGAAAAUAAGAAAUCACUCAGAUCACAAUAUGUAAUGUAAACAUGUGAUCUGAGGCUUUCUUAUUUACUGCCCAUGGUGCGUAUACUAUUUUUCUC
Aricia agestis (brown argus) is the source of this 131-nucleotide long non-coding RNA. RefSeq lists it as uncharacterized. The record is from RefSeq and is a predicted model, not a curated record. Lineage: Eukaryota; Metazoa; Arthropoda; Insecta; Lepidoptera; Lycaenidae. The transcript is spliced from 3 exons.